AUGAACGCUGGCGGCGUGCUUAACACAUGCAAGCCGAACGGAAAGGCCAGUGCUUGCACUGGUGCUCGAGUGGCGAACGGGUGAGUAACACGUGGGUGAUCUGCCCUGCACUUUGGGAUAAGCCUGGGAAACUGGGUCUAAUACCAGAUAGGACCAUGCUUUGGAUGGUGUGGUGGAAAGUUUUUUCGGUGUGGGAUGAGCUUGCGGCCUAUCAGCUUGUUGGUGGGGUAAUGGCCUACCAAGGCGUCGACGGGUAGCCGGCCUGAGAGGGUGUACGGCCACAUUGGGACUGAGAUACGGCCCAGACUCCUACGGGAGGCAGCAGUGGGGAAUAUUGCACAAUGGGCGCAAGCCUGAUGCAGCGACGCCGCGUGGGGGAUGACGGCCUUCGGGUUGUAAACUCCUUUCGCAACUGACGAAGCUUUUUGUGACGGUAGGUUGAGAAGAAGCACCGGCUAACUACGUG
This 466-nucleotide ribosomal RNA is filed under the name uncultured bacterium. Its description in RNAcentral is "partial 16S ribosomal RNA". It matches the Rfam family "Bacterial small subunit ribosomal RNA", at positions 29 to 507 of the family's 1533-position model. The record is from RNAcentral.